GACCACCUUGACAUGCAUUCAUGCUGUCCAGAGUUCCCUGCAGUGCUGCAUUCCUUCUCAUCAGUGACACAUUUUGGGAAUUAUCCCUAAAUGCCUUCCUGGAGUUCCACUGCCAGAGCUGCAACUGCAGCCCUGAACUUCCCAUGCCAAUGGGUCCUUCAACUCAGAGGAGGAAGAGACAUUAAGGAUGGCGGGGGAGGCCUUUGUCCAAGCUGAGGUCUGGAAAACAUUCCGCUCCUCGCCCACAUACAGGCACUGGACGACAAAACGAAUGAUGCACUCUGUCACAUGGAGUUUACACACAUCAGCAGUGAAGAACCUUGUGCUGUGAACCUUGGUGAAAUAUCAGGUUCUUUUGAAGAGGAUGGAAUGGUGAUCUAUGAUGUUGACACACUCAGACCAGUAAGCGUCCUCUGGAUGUGUAGUGCCUCUUUGAUAACACUACACCCAAAAAGAACAAGUCAAAAGGGAAACCACUCUGGCCAGGAGGAUGCUGCCUCCUGCAUGAAUAUCUAUGGAAUGACUGCCUGGACUAGGAGGGCAUGGUUCCUUCUUUUUAACAAGGCCAGACAUCCUCUCUGGUUGCCCAGCAGGCCAAAUGUACUGUUGCAGUAACUGUGUGCACUUAGAAAAAGUAAGUAGCAUUAAAAAUGGCAGCAUAAACUGGGCAUGCACAGUUUUGUUAAGCCCUUUAAAAGUUAUGUCACAGGAAUAGAAUAUCUGGGUAAUAUUAGAGGUCAGUAAGUGGGUAGAAAUUGGUAGCAGAGAUAGAAAAAUGCUUCAUUCAAACAUUCCUCCAUGUAGGCCACCCAAAUAAGAAAUCUCUAGACAUUUAUACAGUCCACAUGGUUCCUUGGCUCACAAAAGGCUCUCAGUCUUUACAAGGGCAAAUUUUAAUAACCAAUAGUAAAGAGUACAUGAAAUUAAGUCCUUUGUCUAAUAAUCUAAAAAAUAUACCACUUUAAUCAAUUUGAUAAAAAAAAAAAGAUAAAACUGUAUACACAAUGAAAUUUCCUUAAAAAUUGCAGAAGCUGCUGGUGAAGUUCAAGUUGAAAUUUUGUAGGUGUGGCACCAUCAGUAGGGCCCGUCCAGGCUGUCACAGGAUGGCCGGGACCAAAAAAUUGGUGCUGCCUGUUAUGCCUUCGGCCAUAUUCAGCUUGGA
Cheilinus undulatus (humphead wrasse) is the source of this 1162-nucleotide long non-coding RNA. RefSeq lists it as uncharacterized. Lineage: Eukaryota; Metazoa; Chordata; Actinopteri; Labriformes; Labridae. The transcript has 3 exons. The record is from RefSeq and is a predicted model, not a curated record.